ACGGGGGGAGCAAACGUUGUUCGGAAUCACUGGGCGUAAAGGGCGCGCAGGCGGUCCGGUAAGUGAUCCGUGAAAGCCUCUGGCUCAACCAGAGAAACGCGUAUCAUACUGCCGGACUUGAGGACGGGAGAGGAAACGGGAAUUCUCGGUGUAGCGGUGAAAUGCACUGAUAUCGGGAAGAACACCAGUGGCGAAGGCGCGUUUCUGGCCCGUUCCUGACGCUCAGGCGCGAAAGCUGGGGGAGCAAACA
RNAcentral lists this ribosomal RNA (250 nucleotides) under uncultured bacterium. Its description in RNAcentral is "partial 16S ribosomal RNA". It matches the Rfam family "Bacterial small subunit ribosomal RNA", at positions 525 to 774 of the family's 1533-position model. The record is from RNAcentral.